GUCCUCUUCACCAUAGGGCAAUCACUUUUCAGGACCAACACGCUAUCUUCAACCCUUUCUAGCGCUUGUUUUUUUGAGCUUGGUGAAUAAGUUAGUGGUCCUCCCCAUGGUGAAAUUAGUAACAAGGUGACGGAUUCACCACAGUGCCCUCUCACCAGGAACACCAGCUCAUGGUGAAAUCAUGGUGAAAUUACUAAUAAACGUUUGCUAUCUCUCUCUAGCGCUUGCCUCUCUGAGAGCUGAGAGAGUGUGGUGAAUAAUCUGGUGCUCUUCCACUCAGCUGACGACGUCACCUUGUUAGUAAUUUUACCAUGGUCCUCCCCACAGC
This 328-nucleotide long non-coding RNA is filed under the name Drosophila guanche. Lineage: Eukaryota; Metazoa; Arthropoda; Insecta; Diptera; Drosophilidae. The record is from RNAcentral.